This 253-nucleotide ribosomal RNA is filed under the name uncultured bacterium. RNAcentral describes it as "partial 16S ribosomal RNA". It matches the Rfam family "Bacterial small subunit ribosomal RNA", at positions 524 to 776 of the family's 1533-position model. The record is from RNAcentral.
UACGGGGGGGGCAAGCGUUGUUCGGAAUUACUGAGCGUAAAGGGCUCGUAGGCGGCCAACUAAGUCCGACGUGAAAUCCCCAAGCUUAACUUGGGAACUGCGUCGGAUACUGGAUGGCUUGAAUUCGGGAGAGGGAUGCAGAAUUCCAGGUGUAGCGGUGAAAUGCGUAGAUAUCUGGAGGAAUACCGGUGGCGAAGGCGGCAUCCUGGACCGACAUUGACGCUGAUGAGCGAAAGCUAGGGGAGCAAACGGG